AGCGAACGUUAGCGGCGGGCUUAACACAUGCAAGUCGAACGCGAAAGGGACUUCGGUCCUCGGUAGAGUGGCGAACGGGUGAGUAACACGUGGGUAAUCAACCUCAUGGCGGGGGACAACCUUCCGAAAGGAUGGCUAAUACCGCAUAAGUCGGCGAUUUCUAUGAAGUUGUCGGGAAAGGCGGCGCCGCAAGGGCUGCCACCAUGAGACGAGCCCGCGUCCCAUCAUGCUAGUUGGUGAGGUAAUGGCUCACCAAGGCUUAGACGGGUAGCUGGUCUGAGAGGAUGAUCAGCCACACUGGAACUGCGACACGGGUCCAGACUCCUACGGGAGCAGCAGUGGGGAAU
RNAcentral lists this ribosomal RNA (347 nucleotides) under uncultured bacterium. RNAcentral describes it as "bacterial SSU rRNA". It matches the Rfam family "Bacterial small subunit ribosomal RNA", at positions 29 to 362 of the family's 1533-position model. The record is from RNAcentral.